This 65-nucleotide transfer RNA is filed under the name Dipodomys ordii (Ord's kangaroo rat). It matches the Rfam family "tRNA". Rfam says of the family: Transfer RNA (tRNA) molecules are approximately 80 nucleotides in length. The record is from Rfam by way of RNAcentral. Lineage: Eukaryota; Metazoa; Chordata; Mammalia; Rodentia; Heteromyidae.
GGUGGCUCAGUGGUAGAGUGCUUGCCUUGCAUGCAUGAGGCCCUGGGUUUGAUUUCUAAGCACCA